This 676-nucleotide ribosomal RNA is filed under the name uncultured Bacteroidales bacterium. RNAcentral's name for it is "bacterial SSU rRNA". It matches the Rfam family "Bacterial small subunit ribosomal RNA", at positions 70 to 742 of the family's 1533-position model. Lineage: Bacteria; Pseudomonadati; Bacteroidota; Bacteroidia; Bacteroidales. The record is from RNAcentral.
UUUGGUUUGCUUGCAAACCAAAGCUGGCGACCGGCGCACGGGUGAGUAACACGUAUCCAACCUGCCUCAUACUCGGGGAUAGCCUUUCGAAAGAAAGAUUAAUAUCCGAUAGCAUAUAUUUCCCGCAUGGGUUUUAUAUUAAAGAAAUUCGGUAUGAGAUGGGGAUGCGUUCCAUUAGUUUGUUGGGGGGGUAACGGCCCACCAAGACUACGAUGGAUAGGGGUUCUGAGAGGAAGGUCCCCCACAUUGGAACUGAGACACGGUCCAAACUCCUACGGGAGGCAGCAGUGAGGAAUAUUGGUCAAUGGACGCGAGUCUGAACCAGCCAAGUAGCGUGAAGGAUGACUGCCCUAUGGGUUGUAAACUUCUUUUAUAUGGGAAUAAAGUUGUCCACGUGUGGAUUUUUGUAUGUACCAUAUGAAUAAGGAUCGGCUAACUCCGUGCCAGCAGCCGCGGUAAUACGGAGGAUCCGAGCGUUAUCCGGAUUUAUUGGGUUUAAAGGGAGCGUAGGCGGAUUGUUAAGUCAGUUGUGAAAGUUUGCGGCUCAACCGUAAAAUUGCAGUUGAUACUGGCAGUCUUGAGUGCAGUAGAGGUGGGCGGAAUUCGUGGUGUAGCGGUGAAUGCUUAGAUAUCACGAAGACUCCGAUUGCGAAGGCAGCUCACUGGAGUGUAACUG